Molecule: ribosomal RNA, 478 nt
Filed under: uncultured bacterium
Lineage: Bacteria
Description: partial 16S ribosomal RNA
Rfam family: Bacterial small subunit ribosomal RNA
Source: RNAcentral
GACGAACGCUGGCGGCGUGCUUAACACAUGCAAGUCGAACGGUAAGGCCCUUCGGGGUACACGAGUGGCGAACGGGUGAGUAACACGUGGGUGAUCUGCCCUGCACUUCGGGAUAAGACUGGGAAACUGGGUCUAAUACCGGAUAGGACUCCGGACUGCAUGGUCUGGGGUCGAAAGCCUUUGCGGGGUGGGAUGGGCCCGCGGCCUAUCAGCUUGUUGGUGGGGUGAUGGCCUACCAAGGCGACGACGGGUAGCCGGCCUGAGAGGGUGACCGGCCACACUGGGACUGAGAUACGGCCCAGACUCCUACGGGAGGCAGCAGUGGGGAAUAUUGCACAAUGGGCGCAAGCCUGAUGCAGCGACGCCGCGUGAGGGAUGACGGCCUUCGGGUUGUAAACCUCUUUCAGCAUCGACGAAGCGAAAGUGACGGUAGGUGCAGAAGAAGGACCGGCCAACUACGUGCCAGCAGCCGCCGUAA